Molecule: transfer RNA, 72 nt
Filed under: Camelus bactrianus (Bactrian camel)
Lineage: Eukaryota; Metazoa; Chordata; Mammalia; Artiodactyla; Camelidae
Also listed under: 1 other name
Rfam family: tRNA
About the family: Transfer RNA (tRNA) molecules are approximately 80 nucleotides in length. Their secondary structure includes four short double-helical elements and three loops (D, anti-codon, and T loops).
Source: Rfam by way of RNAcentral
GAGGGUAUAGCUCAGUAGUAGAGUGCAUGCUUAGCAAGCAUGAGGUCCUGGGUUCAAUCCCCAGUACCUCCA